CAAAAUGAGCGCCCUCGGGCGUCUCACGACUUCUUCCUGUGUGAGCACAAGCUUGCUUUGGCGCCGUAAGGCGUCACAUUUAUGCAGAUUUGCUUCUGAUUCUGAAUCAAAAACAAAUUUA
RNAcentral lists this unclassified non-coding RNA (121 nucleotides) under uncultured Ascomycota. RNAcentral's name for it is "sequence contains ITS1". The record is from RNAcentral. Lineage: Eukaryota; Fungi; Ascomycota.